Molecule: ribosomal RNA, 530 nt
Filed under: uncultured bacterium
Lineage: Bacteria
Description: bacterial SSU rRNA
Rfam family: Bacterial small subunit ribosomal RNA
Source: RNAcentral
GACGAACGCUGGCGGCGUGCCUAAACACAUGCAAGUCGAACGGAGAUGUUAAGGAAGUUUUACUGAAUUAAUGUCUUAGUGGCGGACGGGUGAGUAACGCGUGGGUGACCUACCCGAUAAGAGGGGGAUAACAGUUGGAAACGACUGCUAAUACCGCAUAAGCUGAGUAAUCAGUAAAGGAGGCCUCUGAAAAUGCUUCCGCUUAUGGAUGGGCCCGCGUCUGAUUUAGCUGGUUGGUGGGGUAAAGGCCUACCAAGGCGACGAUCAGUAGCCGGCCUGAGAGGGUGAACGGCCACACUGGGACUGAGACACGGCCCAGACUCCUACGGGAGGCAGCAGUGGGGAAUAUUGCGCAAUGGGGGAAACCCUGACGCAGCGACGCCGCGUGAGCGAAGAAGGCCUUAGGGUCGUAAAGCUCUGUUUUAAGGGACGAAUGUCGCGGGUAAUAAUACGAUCUGCGAAUGACGGUACCUUAAGAGGAAGCCCCGGCUAACUACGUGCCCAGCCAGCCGCGGUAAACAUAACUCGUA